GCCUAAAGCGUCCGUAGCCGGCUCUGUAAGUUUUCGGUUAAAUCUGUACGCUCAACGUACAGGCUGCUGGGAAUACUGCAGAGCUAGGGAGUGGGAGAGGUAGACGGUACUCGGGAGGAAGUGGUAAAAUGCUUUGAUCUCUCGAUGACCACCAGUGGCGAAGGCGGUCUACCAGAACACGUUCGACGGUGAGGGAUGAAAGCUGGGGGAGCAAACCGGAUUAGAUACCCGGGUAGUCCCAGCUGUAAACGAUGCAGACUCGGUGAUGCAUUGGCUUGUGGCCAGUGCAGUGCCGCAGGGAAGCCGUUAAGUUUGCCGCCUGGGAAGUACGUACGCAAGUAUGAAACUUAAAGGAAUUGGCGGGGGAGCACCACAAGGGGUGAAGCCUGCGGUUCAAUUGGAGUCAACGCCAGAAAUCUUACCCGGAGAGACAGCAGAAUGAAGGUCAAGCUGAAGACUUUACCAGACAAGCUGAGAGGUGGUGCAUGGCCGUCGCCAGCUCGUGCCGUGAGAUGUCCUGUUAAGUCAGGUAACGAGCGAGACCCUUGCCUCUAGUUGCCACCAUUGCUCUCUGGAGCAGUGGGGCGAAUUAGCGGGACCGCCGCAGUUAAUGCGGAGGAAGGAAAGGGCUACGGCAGGUCAGUAUGCCCCGAA
This 654-nucleotide ribosomal RNA is filed under the name uncultured archaeon. Its description in RNAcentral is "bacterial SSU rRNA". It matches the Rfam family "Archaeal small subunit ribosomal RNA", at positions 508 to 1160 of the family's 1478-position model. The record is from RNAcentral.